Molecule: long non-coding RNA, 382 nt
Filed under: Rattus norvegicus (Norway rat)
Lineage: Eukaryota; Metazoa; Chordata; Mammalia; Rodentia; Muridae
Description: long non-coding RNA NONRATT032648
Source: RNAcentral
AUGCCUUCUGAGUGGUUACAAGCACAGUCAAAAGCAGUUCAUUCUGAUUUGAUAAAUGCAUUGAAAGCACCUGAAAUUGUUUCAUCCUCUGUCUUUCUUCCCUUUUCAUCUUUUAGAGCAAUCAAAUGAAAUUUCACCUAGCUUUCCUAAUCGAAGUUGUCUGUCUGCUCUGCCCCGGUACUAAAAAUGCAUGUUUCAAUAAGCGUUCCUAUGUGACGGUAAGUGAUAAUGGCAUCGUAUUGAACUUGGGAACCAGACCCCGCUUUCACCUGCCUGGAACCCUGAGAUGUGUUCUCUCAUUGCACACAGUGUGAGGCUUUCAACCAUCAUUGUGAAGCACAUGACGUCCGGUGAGCUGAUGCCUUCCCUCCCCUCCCAGGCC